CUCCUGCCCUACUUAAAUUCUCUCAAAGCAAUAAUUCCUUUCUAUUGCUUGCUGUGUAGACAAAGAUUACAGUAAGAAAUCAAAGUCUAGUGAGAGGAACACACAACAAACACACAUGGUAUCACACUUUGAUGCACUAAAAAAACAACAAAAAAAGCAGAGUUCAUUUUAGAUGGAUCUAAUUCAAAAGGAGACACAUAGUCUAAAAGUGAUUUUAGAAAGUGAUAAUUAAUACCCAUAACAAUUACCAGAACUUGAACCUUUCUGUACUAUGAAACUAUCUAUCCAAUAAUCAUAUUGUUU
Pelobates cultripes (western spadefoot toad) is the source of this 303-nucleotide non-coding RNA. The record is from the annotation of a GenBank genome assembly. Lineage: Eukaryota; Metazoa; Chordata; Amphibia; Anura; Pelobatidae.